Molecule: long non-coding RNA, 1142 nt
Organism: Perognathus longimembris pacificus (Pacific pocket mouse)
Lineage: Eukaryota; Metazoa; Chordata; Mammalia; Rodentia; Heteromyidae
Exons: 3
Source: RefSeq, a predicted model, not a curated record
CCAUGUGUAUCUUGAAACUAUGGUAUAUUUCUUCCCAAUUGUAUUUUUUUUCUUUCUCUACUAUUUGAUAUCUACCAAGGGCGAUUGGUUCCAGACCCCCUGAUGAUAUCAAAUUCUGUGGAAGAUCAAGUUCUUUCUACAAGGUGGUACAAUAUUUAUAAAUAACCUAUGUGCACCCUUCCUACACUUUAGAACAACAUUACUUACAAUUCCUCAAUGUAAAUGAUGUGCAAAUGCUUAUUGUACAAGAAAAAUGCUGAACACAUUUAGUACAGAUUACAUCUUUUGGAUUACUUUUAAUCUUUACUUGGAUAAAUCCAUGGACCUAGACCCUGCAUGAUCCAGAAUCUAAUGAUAUUUCCUCCUAGAAGUACAGUCCUAUUUGAUUAUAUUUCUUUUGCUUCCCUAUUAAAUUUACUUUAAUGUCUAUUAUUCAAAACUACAUCUUUAUGUGAAUGACUUGUUAGAGCAUGCACAUACAUACAUAAUGUUUUCUCAAAUGCCAAUCAUGGCAUAAUUGGGAGCAUCUUGCAUAUUUUUUUUGCCAUGUGUUAGAUUUGGGAGAUUAAUUAACAUUGAGGUGUAAGUUCCUAUUCAGUACUUUGGUUUUGUAAAAAGAUAGCACUGAUAGAACUUAGAGCUUGUGCUGGCUUAGCAGGUGCUCUAACUGCUGAGCCAUGCCUCCAGCUCUGAUAUUUGUUCUAAUUCUAAUAUAGUCUCCUUUGCUAGGCUUCCUAGUAUUUAGGAUAACAGGCAAGUACUACUACGACUGGCUCUUAGUUGAGAAAGUCUCUCAGAAUUGUUUUCUGCCCUGAUUGGCCUCUAACCAUGGUCUCAAACAAUUGCAGCCUCCAAGUUGGCUAGGACAACAAACAUAGGCCAUCAGCUCCUUGCUCUCUUCGUUUUAUUUAUUGAAAUAUACAUUUUGUAUUCUAUAAUCAGUCAUUUCAUUUAUAAAGUGGUCAGAAACGAAUCAAACUGUUUACUGUUUCUCCUGACUUUAGCAGUUACUUGUGUGUUUCUGUCAUUAGAGGUUGUGAACUCAUGUGUUUUACUCAUGGCAAAAUCCAAGGCCUAAUCUGAAGUGUACACCUCAAGAACUGCUGUUAUAGUCAUGUCUUCAUGUACUUUUGCUGAGUAGU